This 987-nucleotide long non-coding RNA is filed under the name Androctonus crassicauda. The record is from RNAcentral. Lineage: Eukaryota; Metazoa; Arthropoda; Arachnida; Scorpiones; Buthidae.
ACGAUAUUUGUCACUAAUUUUACACUCAGUUUACAAAUUAGUUGUUUAUAAAUCUUAAAAUUAUUGAUAUUUUAAAUAAAAUAAAAAACAUUAGCAAAGUGAAUCAUUUAACUGCUUAAACUUAACAUUAGGAAAAUUAAAUGAUAAAAGUUAUGUAAACAAGUGAACAACUGGACAAAUGAAGUAAACAUAAAUUAGAGCAGGGGGACAGAACAUUAUAGAAUAAGUUGUAUUGAUUAGGAGGCCAAAAUCAUAAAAUUAGUAGUCUAAAUUUAACAAGAUGUUUUGGAUCAAAAUUUUUUGAAAUUUUUUUACAUUUGUGAAGCCUUAUGGGCUGUUAGGCACAGGGAGUUUGGUCCUUAAAUGCCUGAACAGGAUUUCUGACAUAAAUUAACACUAACAAUAUAUGUUUAAUGAGAGAGAUUCCCAUGCAUUAUUUUGCAUAUUAACAAUUAAACAUAUCUGCGGGAAAGAUAAAUACCUUAUAGUGGGUUAACAAUUGAUGGUUUGUCAACAUCUUUAAUUCACUUCUUUGAUGCAGACAUGUAGGGUGAAAUGAGGAACAAUGACAGUGUUAUAACUUCAGGAGUAGGUGAAGAUAUUUCAUGGAAGACAGGUGGAGAACUCGAUUGGAGGUACAACAGAAAAACGUCGGUGGAUGAACAAGGAGGAAUAUUUAGUGCUGAAGGACAGAUGAAUUUGGAUGAAGAUGACUUUGAUGGACAGAUGAGCAAGGAAAAAUACUCCAAUCUUUUCUUCAGGGAGUCUUUAUAUUGUUGACUGUAUCCUCCCCUGUCGGUCCAAAGACGGGCGAUCUGGGCCUCAUUGUGACUAGUCUUGGCCUGGAUUUCUCCCUUGGAUCUUAUCUAUCUUUGAUAACCUGGAUUACAAAUUUAUAAUUGACAUUCAAAUAAAAGUUGUUUUCGUUUUAGUUUCUGGUGCCAGUCCUCUUAUCUCUGUUUUAUGAUAACUAUAGUUAUUCUUGCU